RNAcentral lists this ribosomal RNA (376 nucleotides) under uncultured bacterium. RNAcentral describes it as "bacterial SSU rRNA". It matches the Rfam family "Bacterial small subunit ribosomal RNA", at positions 524 to 898 of the family's 1533-position model. The record is from RNAcentral.
UACGAGUGCCUCGAGCGUUAUCCGGAAUCAUUGGGCGUAAAGGGUGUGCAGGCGGUCUGAUUAGUCUUCUGUUAAAUUUCUCGGCUUAACCGGGAACCUGCAGGGGAAACGGUCAGACUUGAGGAUGCGAGAGGUUUACGGAACUCAUAGUGUAGCGGUGAGAUGCGUUGAUACUAUGGGGAACACCAAAUGCGAAGGCAGUAAACUGGAGCACUCCUGACGCUGAAACACGAAAGCGUGGGUAGCGAAUGGGAUUAGAUACCCCAGUAGUCCACGCCCUAAACGAUCUUCUCUAGGUUUUCGGAGUAUCGACCCUCUGAGAGCCACAGCUAACGCGUUAAGAGAAGCGCCUGGGUAGUACGGCCGCAAGGCUAAA